This 391-nucleotide ribosomal RNA is filed under the name uncultured bacterium. Its description in RNAcentral is "bacterial SSU rRNA". It matches the Rfam family "Bacterial small subunit ribosomal RNA", at positions 28 to 420 of the family's 1533-position model. The record is from RNAcentral.
GACGAACGCUGGCGGCGUGCUUAACACAUGCAAGUCGAGCGGUAAGGCCCUUUCGGGGGUACACGAGCGGCGAACGGGUGAGUAACACGUGGGUGACCUGCCCUCAGCUCUGGGAUAAGCCUGGGAAACCGGGUCUAAUACUGGAUAUGACUCCAUGACGCAUGUUGGUGGGGUGGAAAGCCUUGUGCGGCUGAGGAUGGGCCCGCGGCCUAUCAGCUUGUUGGUGGGGUGAGGCCUACCAAGGCGACGACGGGUAGCCGGCCUGAGAGGGCGACCGGCCACACUGGGACUGAGACACGGCCCAGACUCCUACGGGAGGCAGCAGUGGGGAAUCUUGCGCAAUGGGCGAAAGCCUGACGCAGCGACGCCGCGUGAGGGAUGACGGCCUGGU